Molecule: unclassified non-coding RNA, 1488 nt
Filed under: Dimorphilus gyrociliatus
Lineage: Eukaryota; Metazoa; Annelida; Polychaeta; Dinophilidae
Description: hypothetical protein
Source: RNAcentral
UUAUUUACUUUUUCACUUAUUCAGCUCACAUAACAUAUAAAAUAGAAUGUUUAUAUUCGUAAUGAGCGAAAAUAAGGACAGUUUGAAAUUGUUUUAUGAAAGAAACAGCUUUUUCUCUUCUUAACAAUGUAAAAAUUUUGUGAUAAAAUUUAAACGAAGCUCUAAAAGGCCAUUGUCAAUUUUCUCAAACACAAACGAGAGCUGAACUGUAUAAUAAUUAAGGAAAAGGAUAUAGUAUUGAAGAGGAGAAGACAGGGUCCUUCGAUAGAUAUGUGGAUUGCAAUCUUAUUACUUAAGACUUAGCUUCAAGGUUACCUUUAAUAUUUACACGAUUCGGUGAAUACUCUCUAUUCGAAUAAUGAUAAAAAUCUCAGAAAGAUUCUUUCGUUUUAUUGUUUUAUAUACUAUACAUGAUAAAAUCUUUAUGAUAAGAAUAAAGUAAAUGCAAAAUCUCUUAAAAGUUUCACUCCAUCGUUCCUAUCAGAUUCUUUUAUAGUUAGCCAACAUCUUAACGCUGAAUAACAUAAUCUAAAAAAAUAUAGAAAUAAAACAUUAUUCCGUAGAAAAUAUUAAAAAGUAUAUAAAAUAUUAUCAAAAUACAAAAAAAUUAUUGAUCUAUUUGAGUAAGCUGCUAGUUUCAACUUUUUCUUAUCUGAAUAUUUUUGAUAACAGCUUGAAUAUUCUAACUAUAUUGUUCAAUUUUUUUUUCCAGACAGUCUUUUUUUUCUGAUAAUUCCUCGUUCAAAAUGCCUCUAAAAAUCUUUGGAAGAAAAAAGGGUAAGGAAAAAAAACAAGAAUACGAAAAAGAUGCCGCAUUAACAGAAGAAGAAGCAAAGGCUAUACCGCAAUUAACAAGACGUGAUAGAAACGUCUCGAUCUCAAAAUCUGGAAGGCACAAAAUGCAAAAAGGCAACAGGAAAAGUGUUUUGGAAAACGAUAUCUUUCAAAGAAGUACAAAAGGAGAGGAAGGUAAUGCCAGUGACGCAACAUCUGUGUCUGAAAGUGUGACUUCAACAGGCAAUUGCUCUACUACUUCACAUGGAUAUUAAGACUUCCUGCAAAUGCAUUUUUUGAUGAAAAAUUGUGUACAUUGUUUUCUUGCAGAAACAUUUCCAAUGCAUAUAUCAAUGAAAACUAUACUCAUUAGAUGUAUAAUUUACUUAAGUAACUAAUAUGAAUAUUGUUAUGUGCCAUUUUACAAAAAUAGUAAUGAUUGAAGGAAGGAAAUAGAAGCUUGUAAAAAAAGAAAAUCGAAACAAAUACAAGUUCCUAUUCAUAUUUCUCACUAAUAUUAACUUUCUUUCUAUAGAAUAUUAGCAAUUCUUUAUCUAUAAAAUUAUAAGAUGUUUCAGCCUAUAAAUUGUAAAAAAAGAAAUACUGUAAGGUAUUGAGAUUCAACGUUUAUAACUUAUUAAAAAUAUAAAACUAUCUUUUAUGUAUUAAGUUUAGUAUAUUGUAUUACUUUUUAAAUUAAAUGUCAUACACUUA